Nematostella vectensis (starlet sea anemone) is the source of this 618-nucleotide long non-coding RNA. RefSeq lists it as uncharacterized. NCBI's taxonomy places the organism in Eukaryota, Metazoa, Cnidaria, Anthozoa, Actiniaria, Edwardsiidae. The record is from RefSeq and is a predicted model, not a curated record. The transcript has 2 exons.
UCGUUGAAGCUCGCGUGCGCAAGAAUUUUUUUCUCUGGUUGUUUUUUCGCCGUCUCGUGCGUUUCUAAUACAAAUAAUGAUACCACCUAUAUAGCAAACCAAUAGAGCGUGCAGACAGGACACGACGCCAAGUGUCAAUAUUAUUAGUCUCGCUUCCCUCGUCAUAGAUUCACAAAGUGACAUUCAAAAUUAGGGACCAGUUGAAGAAAGGGAGGAACAACGGAAUAAGAUAUUAACGGCGCAUAAAGCUGUCAACCCGACUUUGCGAGUCAUUAAGAAUAGCGCGCAUAUUUUAGCGGAGACUAGAUUGCCCCAGUGCUAAUUGCCCUAUCACGGAAUGGUAGCUGGAACUCACGCGCCUAACCGUCGGUCAAUAACCACUGCGUGCACUCCAGAUUAUCAAGGAGGAAGACGCUAAGAACAGAUGGAAAGCGAAACUACGCUUUUCAUUUGAGUAAUCUCCUAUUGUUAUGAUUACAAUUGUGAAAGUCAUAUUUUACGUUCUAUCGGACGUUGCAAAUUCGAUUUAUUUUAUUCCACGCAUUAUAAUACAUAACCACAUUUGCACAUAGCAAAAAGUAUAUUAAAAUGUUGUAUUAAAAGUAUAGAAAGAGUAUA